UACGGAGGAUGCGAGCGUUAUCCGGAUUUAUUGGGUUUAAAGGGUGCGUAGGCGGACUGUCAAGUCAGCGGUAAAAUUGAGAGGCUCAACCUCUUCCCGCCGUUGAAACUGGUGGUCUUGAGUGGAUGAGAAGUACGCGGAAUGCGUGGUGUAGCGUUGAAAUGCAUAGAUAUCACGCAGAACUCCGAUUGCGAAGGCAGCGUACCGGCAUCCAACUGACGCUGAGGCACGAAAGCGUGGGGAUCAAACAGG
RNAcentral lists this ribosomal RNA (252 nucleotides) under uncultured bacterium. RNAcentral describes it as "partial 16S ribosomal RNA". It matches the Rfam family "Bacterial small subunit ribosomal RNA", at positions 524 to 776 of the family's 1533-position model. The record is from RNAcentral.